Long non-coding RNA from Passer domesticus (house sparrow), 834 nucleotides. RefSeq lists it as uncharacterized. The transcript has 4 exons. Lineage: Eukaryota; Metazoa; Chordata; Aves; Passeriformes; Passeridae. The record is from RefSeq and is a predicted model, not a curated record.
GAAUCAUUACCUUGGAUCUGAUGGCUGCAUUCUUGGUAAUACAGUCCAAUAUGUCAUCAGCGUUCUUUGAUGCAAGUCUACUCAACUGAUAUAUGUUCAGCACACUGCCCACCAGGAUCCCAGGACAUUUUAUGCAAAGCUGCAUUUUUCCCAAUUAGUCUCCUAAAUGGUUGCCUUUUGCAUCUUAUGGAACUAUAUUGCCACCCACCAUAAUGAUUACUUCCAAAAUACAAAAUACUGCAUUAACGGGGAUCUUGAAAUGCAUGGCAUGUUGAGAGAACUUUGUAAAGAAUGGGUGACGUGAAGAGAUAUGAACUACAUCAAGCUAUGCAACUGUUUGCCAUUUGAGGCAUGCAGUUUCUUGACAUUUAAUAUCCUAACUACAGAAUGGCACAUUUUGAAUAGAAAGGGAAGAGAAUCAGCUUUCCUGCUUAUUCUAUAAGAAAUUAUCAACCACAGCUGAUGCCCAGGAUGUAAGAAUUUGUGUCCUAAAAGCAGUGACUUGCCAACACCUUGGAAUCUAAAGCAGAGUGGAAAUUAUUGCUACACUUCCAAAGUGACAGAGAAAUUGUUCAGCUCCAAAUGGAAGUUGUAGAACACAGGACUUGGGAUACUAAAUCAUCUAGCAGCAGAGAGGAAUUCAGCCACAUGAUUGAUGCCAGAUUUCUGCUGGGGGAUCAAAAUCCAUCAAGCAAAGUAGCUAUUGCCAUUAAUCAUGCCUCUGAAGUGUUUGGUAUUUCUGUGACUUAAGAACAUGCAGCAGCCCCUCUGGUGGCAGGAAGUGGAAAGGGAGAAAGAAGCUUUUGUGUCUCUAAGUGAUGAGAAAGCAAAAAC